Molecule: RNA transcript, 2692 nt
Organism: Phacochoerus africanus (Common warthog)
Lineage: Eukaryota; Metazoa; Chordata; Mammalia; Artiodactyla; Suidae
Gene: PUS7L
Gene name: pseudouridine synthase 7 like
Exons: 10
Source: RefSeq, a predicted model, not a curated record
GCUCCACAGCAGGUCUCUUGCGAGGCGCUUCUUUAAGUGGAGCCUGCUCCUUUAAAUACACCCCUGUCGGAGGCGAAAUAGUUUAAAGCUUCCGGGCAUGCGCACAGCGCUGUGCCGAAGAAUGCCUCCUCCUGGAUGUGAGGCAUUGUUAUUUAAGAAUGGAAGAGGACACAGAUUUUAGAAUCAGGUUUAGUUCUUUGUGUUUCAUUACUGAUCAUGUUGGAUUUCAUGGCACCAUAAAAAGCUCACCAAGUGACUUUGUGGUUAUUGAGAUUGAUGAGCAGGGACAACUAGUUAAUAAAGCCAGUGAUGAACAUGUUAACAAGGUUCAUAAAGUACUACCUGAGCCAAAUGAUUUGGCUAAAAAACCAAAACUAGAUCUUCAAAAUGUAUCCUUUGAAGAGAGAAGCAAUCAAGAAGUCAAGACUUCAGCUGGGUGCUCGGAUGAUGACCAAAAUUAUGAGCCUGCUUCUGAAAAGGCAGAUACUAUCAAAGAUGGAAUUUUGAGAGGUGAAAAAGAACAUCUUGAUGUAUUCGGCUCCUUGUUAGAUGAAAAAACUAAUGAAUUACUGAAUCAGUAUGCUGGUGAUAUAAAAGAGAAGUGGAAUUCUAAAACUGAGCUAAUUGGACCAUCUCCUGAAUUCUCAUUAGGUAGAAUCCUUGACAAAAACCAGAGGGCUACCCUGCAUAGUGCUGUUAGGCAGAAAUUUCCUUUUUUAAUAACUGUAGGAAAAAACAGUGAAAUUGUUGUAAAACCAAAUCUUGAGUGUAAAGAACUCUGUCACUUGGUAUCUGAAGAAGAAGCAUUUGGCUUUUUUAAAUAUUUGGAUGCACGGAAAGAAAAUUCCAAAUUUACCUUUAAAUCUGAUACAGACAAAGAGCACAGAAAAGCUGUCCACCAUUUUGUCAACAAAAAAUUUGGAAAUCUUGUGGAAACCAAAUCUUUUCCUGAACUGAAUUACGGUGCUGAUAAUCCAAAUGUAGUGAUUACAGUAAGAUUUCGGGAAAAAGCACACAAACACAAGAAAAGGUCUCUGCAUGAAUGCCCAGAAAGAAAAGUUAUACACACAGCCUUUACCCUACGAAAAGAAAAUCUUGAAAUGUUUGAAGCGGUUGGUUUUUUAGCUAUCAAACUUGGAGUGAUUCCUUCGGAUUUUAGUUAUGCAGGACUUAAAGACAAGAAAGCCAUCACUUAUCAAGCAAUGGUUGUUAGAAAAGUGACACCAGAGAGGUUGAAAAAUAUUGAAAAAGAACUUGAAAAGAAAAGAAUGAAUAUACUUAACAUUCGGUCUGUGGAUGAUUCCCUUAGACUUGGUCAGCUCAAAGGAAAUCAUUUUGAUAUUGUCAUCAGAAAUUUAAAAAACCAAAUAAAUGAUUCCACAAACCUGAGAGAGAGAAUUUUGGAGGCUAUAGAAAAUGUGAAGAAUAAAGGGUUUGUGAAUUACUAUGGACCACAGAGAUUUGGGAUGGGAAGGAAAGUUCAUACAGACCAAAUUGGAUUGGCUUUGCUGAAGAGUGAAAUGGUGAAAGCUGUAAAAUUAUUUCUUACACCAGAAGAUUCGGAUGAUCCUGUAAAUAGAGCAAAGAAGUAUUUUCUUCAAACAGACGAUGCUAAGGGCACACUCUCACUGAUGCCUGAAUUCAAGGUGCGGGAGAGAGCAUUGCUGGAGUCCUUGCAUCGCUUUGGCAUGACAGAGGAGGGCUGUGUCCAGGCCUGGUUCUCUUUCCCCCAUUCUAUGCGUAUAUUCUAUGUUCAUGCUUAUAGCAGCAAAAUCUGGAAUGAGGCAGCAUCGUACAGACUUGCCACCUAUGGAUCCAGGGUAGUGGAGGGGGACUUGGUCUGUUUGGAGGAAGAUGUUGACGAUGAGCAUUUACCAAAUAGUAAAGUUCAUCUGGUAACUGAAGAAGAUCAAUCAGCUAAUACAUAUGCAAUACAUCAGGUGGUUCUUCCAGUGCUUGGAUACAAUAUUCAGUAUCCAAAGAACAAAGUAGGGCAGUGGUACCAGGAGGUACUCAAAAGAGAUGGACUACAAACCUGUAGAUUUAAAAUACCUCCUCUGAAACUGAAUGUUCCGGGAUGCUAUAGAAAGAUUUUGAAACAUCCCCAUAAUCUCUCAUACCAACUAAUAGAAGAUGCUGAUAUUGAUGUCAAAAAGGACGGUUCUCACAUCGACGAAGCAACUUUAUCUCUUUUGAUCUCUUUUGAUCUUGAUGCUUCCUGUUAUGCCACAGUCUGUCUGAGGGAAAUAAUGAAGCAUGACUUUUAAAACCGAUACCCUUGAUAUAAACGGGUAUGUGCCAUUUUUUAAAGGAAAGGGAGUUAAAAUUUCUUGAGCAUCUACCAUGUACUAGGAACUUUAUAAUCGUUGCCUCCUUUGAUUACAUGGCAUCCUGAUGAAGUAGAAUUUGAUAUUAAACCUUCCAAAGGAUGUACACCUAUUUAAAGGCUUGAGUAGACUUUGGACCAAAUGAUGAUCAGUCACCUAGGUUUUUGCAGUUUUUCUGGAGCAUUUCAGGCUUUCAGAAGAAGAGUAUUUGGAUUAGUUUUAAUUUUCAACAUUGCAUUUGACACUGAGCAGUAGUGCCUCAGGAUUACUAAGGUAAAACAAAUUGAGGUCUUUUUAUUAAGAUAAAAACAGUUGGGUUUUUGUAAGUUGUAAUAAACUGAAGUCAUAUACAACUUGUGAUCCAA